UCGUGUCCUUGACGACGUUCAAGCGCGACGGCGAUGCGGUCGCCGCGCCGAUGUGGAUCGUCGGCGACGGCGCGGGGCUGUCGGCGUGGAC
Molecule: transfer RNA, 91 nt
Filed under: Mycobacterium triplex
Lineage: Bacteria; Bacillati; Actinomycetota; Actinomycetes; Mycobacteriales; Mycobacteriaceae
Description: tRNA-Arg
Source: RNAcentral